This 433-nucleotide ribosomal RNA is filed under the name uncultured bacterium. Its description in RNAcentral is "partial 16S ribosomal RNA". It matches the Rfam family "Bacterial small subunit ribosomal RNA", at positions 29 to 507 of the family's 1533-position model. The record is from RNAcentral.
AACGAACGCUGGCGGCAUGCCUAACACAUGCAAGUCGAACGAGACCUUCGGGUCUAGUGGCGCACGGGUGCGUAACGCGUGGGAACCUGCCCUUAGGUUCGGAAUAACUCCCCGAAAGGGGUGCUAAUACCGGAUAAUGUCUUCGGAGCAAAGAUUUAUCGCCUAUGGAUGGGCCCGCGUUGGAUUAGCUAGUUGGUAGGGUAAAAGCCUACCAAGGCGACGAUCCAUAGCUGGUCUGAGAGGAUGAUCAGCCACACUGGGACUGAGACACGGCCCAGACUCCUACGGGAAGCAGCAGUGGGGAAUAUUGGACAAUGGGCGAAAGCCUGAUCCAGCAAUGCCGCGUGAGUGAUGAAGGCCUUAGGGUUGUAAAGCUCUUUUACCCGGGAUGAUAAUGACAGUACCGGGAGAAUAAGCUCCGGCUAACUCCGUG